Molecule: transfer RNA, 87 nt
Filed under: Entamoeba invadens IP1
Lineage: Eukaryota; Evosea; Mastigamoebida; Endamoebidae
Rfam family: tRNA
About the family: Transfer RNA (tRNA) molecules are approximately 80 nucleotides in length. Their secondary structure includes four short double-helical elements and three loops (D, anti-codon, and T loops).
Source: Rfam by way of RNAcentral
GGGGAUAGCACAAUGGUAGUGCAUUAUUUUUUUAAUAAAAUUUAAGGUAUUCGGUAAAGACUGUUGGUUUGAUUCUUACUAUUCCCA